Molecule: ribosomal RNA, 465 nt
Filed under: uncultured Klebsiella sp.
Lineage: Bacteria; Pseudomonadati; Pseudomonadota; Gammaproteobacteria; Enterobacterales; Enterobacteriaceae
Description: bacterial SSU rRNA
Rfam family: Bacterial small subunit ribosomal RNA
Source: RNAcentral
CCUACGGGUGGCUGCAGUGGGGAAUAUUGCACAAUGGGCGCAAGCCUGAUGCAGCCAUGCCGCGUGUGUGAAGAAGGCCUUCGGGUUGUAAAGCACUUUCAGCGGGGAGGAAGGCGUUAAGGUUAAUAACCUUGGCGAUUGACGUUACCCGCAGAAGAAGCACCGGCUAACUCCGUGCCAGCAGCCGCGGUAAUACGGAGGGUGCAAGCGUUAAUCGGAAUUACUGGGCGUAAAGCGCACGCAGGCGGUCUGUCAAGUCGGAUGUGAAAUCCCCAGGCUCAACCUGGGAACUGCAUUCGAAACUGGCAGGCUAGAGUCUUGUAGAGGGGGGUAGAAUUCCAGGUGUAGCGGUGAAAUGCGUAGAGAUCUGGAGGAAUACCGGUGGCGAAGGCGGCCCCCUGGACAAAGACUGACGCUCAGGUGCGAAAGCGUGGGGAGCAAACAGGAUUAGAUACCCGUGUAGUC